This 250-nucleotide ribosomal RNA is filed under the name uncultured bacterium. Its description in RNAcentral is "partial 16S ribosomal RNA". It matches the Rfam family "Bacterial small subunit ribosomal RNA", at positions 355 to 597 of the family's 1533-position model. The record is from RNAcentral.
UGGGGAAUAUUGGACAAUGGGCGAAAGCCUGAUCCAGCAAUGCCGCGUGUGUGAAGAAGGCCUGCGGGUUGUAAAGCACUUUUGUUCGGGAAGAAAACGUGCCGGUCAAUACCCGGUAUGAAUGACGGUACCGAAAGAAUAAGCACCGGCUAACUUCGUGCCAGCAGCCGCGGUAAUACGAAGGGUGCAAGCGUUAAUCGGAAUUACUGGGCGUAAAGGGUGCGUAGGCGGCUUUUUAAGUCGGAUGUGA